This 447-nucleotide ribosomal RNA is filed under the name uncultured bacterium. RNAcentral's name for it is "bacterial SSU rRNA". It matches the Rfam family "Bacterial small subunit ribosomal RNA", at positions 335 to 772 of the family's 1533-position model. The record is from RNAcentral.
ACUCCUACGGGAGGCAGCAGUGGGGAAUAUUGGACAAUGGGCGAAAGCCUGAUCCAGCCAUGCCGCGUGUGUGAAGAAGGUCUUCGGAUUGUAAAGCACUUUAAGUUGGGAGGAAGGGCAGUUACCUAAUACGUAAUUGUUUUGACGUUACCGACAGAAUAAGCACCGGCUAACUCUGUGCCAGCAGCCGCGGUAAUACAGAGGGGUGCAAGCGUUAAUCGGAAUUACUGGGCGUAAAGCGCGCGUAGGUGGUUUGUUAAGUUGGAUGUGAAAUCCCCGGGGCUCAACCUGGGAACUGCAUUCAAAACUGACUGACUAGAGUAUGGUAGAGGGUGGUGGAAUUUCCUGUGUAGCGGUGAAAUGCGUAGAUAUAGGAAGGAACACCAGUGGCGAAGGCGACCACCUGGACUAAUACUGACACUGAGGUGCGAAAGCGUGGGGAGCAAA